ACAGCAGUAGCCGCGGGAAAACAGAGGCCUCAAGCGUUGUUCGGAUUCAUUGGGCGUAAAGGGUGCGUAGGUGGCUUGGUAAGUUGAAGGUGAAAUCUCGGGGCUUAACCCCGAAACUGCCUUCAAUACUGCUAGGCUCGAGGACUGUAGAGGAGAAUGGAAUUCACGGUGUAGCAGUGAAAUGCGUAGAUAUCGUGAGGAAGACCAGUGGCGAAGGCGAUUCUCUGGGCAGUUCCUGACACUGAGGCACGAAGGCCAGGGGAGCAAACGGGAUUAGAUACCCGUGUAGUCCCUGUCUCUUAUAA
Molecule: ribosomal RNA, 305 nt
Filed under: uncultured bacterium
Lineage: Bacteria
Description: partial 16S ribosomal RNA
Rfam family: Bacterial small subunit ribosomal RNA
Source: RNAcentral